Molecule: long non-coding RNA, 933 nt
Organism: Helianthus annuus (common sunflower)
Lineage: Eukaryota; Viridiplantae; Streptophyta; Magnoliopsida; Asterales; Asteraceae
Exons: 2
Source: RefSeq, a predicted model, not a curated record
GAGGCCGAAUCAUUAGCGGGUCAGUAAUGAAACCCUAGCUACGACAAUCCCUAUUUAAAUCUCGAUUCAUUGUUUUCGCUGAUGAAAUUCAUUGUGGACGUGAUCAAAGAAUCCAGAUGAUGAAGUAAUAUGAGUUUUAUGCUUAACACUCUGAUUAUACUGUGGUGACUACGAACUCCGCUUAUUAUCUGAUGCCAGAAUGAGUAAAUUACUUAUUGAGAGUCCUGUGUUUUAGCGGUUUUGACCACUUGAGUCUAAAAUCAAAAAGUUUAACGCCUGAGUCUCUAACCACUUAUUUUAUAACGUUUUGAGUCCAAUUUAUAACACUUACUUUAUAACGUUUUGAGUCCAAUUUAUAACACUUACUUUUUAUUUUGGGCUCAAGUGGUUAAAAGCACUAAUAUGCAGGGACUCAAAACGUUAUAAAUGAGCGGUUAGGGACUCAGGUUGUUAAACUUUUUUAUUUUGAACUCAACCGGUUAAAACCACUAAAACACUAAAACACAAGGACUCAAAAAGUAAUUUACUCCAGAACGUUUUAAAUUUAAAUUUUUGAUGAUGAGAUUGAGGCAGACGGGCGGUCUGAAAUGAUGCCGUGUUGAUUGUCUGCAUAUUAUCCAUUCUUAUGAUGGAUUCAACUCUGAGAUUUUCAAAAUUUAUUUCUUUCAUUGUUUUUGUCAGUUUUAUCAUAAGUUUUUUUACUAUUAUUAUUUGGAACAUUUUGGGACAUUUCAGGUUAAGGGUUUGUGGCAGUGCUAUGAUGAGUAUGCAAAUAUAUAUAUAUAUGUAUGUGUGGACUUAUGAGACAUUGUCUAUAAAUGAUGAGCAUACUUCUGGACUAGUUAUUUCUGAUUCAGUUAGAAUUCUUAUUGUAUUUGUAUACGUGUAUUAUCGUUAGAAUCAUCUAUUAUCAUAAAAUUUCACUUAGGAGUU